RNAcentral lists this ribosomal RNA (1350 nucleotides) under uncultured bacterium. Its description in RNAcentral is "bacterial SSU rRNA". It matches the Rfam family "Bacterial small subunit ribosomal RNA", at positions 26 to 1367 of the family's 1533-position model. The record is from RNAcentral.
AGGAUGAACGCUAGCGACAGGCCUAACACAUGCAAGUCGAGGGGUAACAGGGAGCUUGCUCCGCUGACGACCGGCGCACGGGUGAGUAACGCGUAUGCAACCUUCCCGCGGGAUCGGGAUAGCCCCCCGAAAGGGGGAUUAACACCGGAUGAGUCAGACGCCUGGCAUCGGGUGUCUGCCAAAUGCGAAGCCUGCGGAUGGGCAUGCGUCCCAUUAGGAAGCUGGCGGGGUAACGGCCCACCAGUCCGACGAUGGGUAGGGGUUCUGAGAGGAAGGUCCCCCACAUUGGUACUGAGACACGGACCAAACUCCUACGGGAGGCAGCAGUGAGGAAUAUUGGUCAAUGGGCGCGAGCCUGAACCAGCCAAGUCGCGUGAGGGAAGACGGCCCUACGGGUUGUAAACCUCUUUAGCCGGGGAGCAAGGGGCGCCACUUGUGGCGUCUCGGAGAGUACCCGGAGAAUAAGCAUCGGCUAACUCCGUGCCAGCAGCCGCGGUAAUACGCAGGAUGCGAGCGUUAUCCGGAUUUAUUGGGUUUAAAGGGUGCGUAGGCGGGCUUCCAAGUCAGCGGUAAAAUCGCGGCGCUCAACGCCGCCCCGCCGUUGAAACUGGGAGCCUUGAGUGAACGAGAAGUGAGCGGAAUGCGUGGUGUAGCGGUGAAAUGCUUAGAUAUCACGCAGAACUCCGAUUGCGAAGGCAGCUCACCGGCGUUCAACUGACGCUGAAGCACGAAAAGCGUGGGGAUCAAACAGGAUUAGAUACCCUGGUAGUCCACGCCGUAAACGAUGAAUGCUAGCCGUGCGCUCCGAUUGAGGGGUGCGUGGCCGAGCGAAAGCGUUAAGCAUUCCACCUGGGGAGUACGCCGGCAACGGUGAAACUCAAAGGAAUUGACGGGGGCCCGCACAAGCGGAGGAACAUGUGGUUUAAUUCGAUGAUACGCGAGGAACCUUACCCGGGCUCAAACGCGGCGGCGAGAUUUUUGAAAGGAGAUCGUAGGCCAGCAAUGGCCAACCGUCGCGAGGUGCUGCAUGGUUGUCGUCAGCUCGUGCCGUGAGGUGUCGGCUUAAGUGCCAUAACGAGCGCAACCCCCAUCGUCAGUUGCCAUCAGGUGAAGCUGGGCACUCUGGCGAGACUGCCAGCGCAAGCUGCGAGGAAGGCGGGGAUGACGUCAAAUCAGCACGGCCCUUACGUCCGGGGCGACACACGUGUUACAAUGGCAGGCACAGCGGGAAGCCACCCGGCGACGGGGAGCGGAUCCCGAAAGCCUGUCUCAGUUCGGAUCGGAGUCUGCAACCCGACUCCGUGAAGCUGGAUUCGCUAGUAAUCGCGCAUCAGCCAUGGCGCGGUGAAU